ACGGGAGAGUAAUGCUUGGGAAUCGGGCUUAUGGAGGGGGAUAACUACGGGAAACUGUAGCUAAUACCGCGUAAAAUCUUCGGAUUAAAGGGUGGGACCUUCGGACCACAUGCCAUUCGAUGAGCCCAAGUGGGAUUAGGUAGUUGGUGAGGGGAGGCUCACCAGGCCGACGAUCUCUAGCUGGUCUGAGAGGAUGACCAGCCGCUCUGGCACUGAGACACUGACCAAACUCCUACGGGAGGCAGCAAUGGGGAAUAUUGCACACUGCGGGCAACCCUGACGCACCCAUGCCGCGUGAAUGAAUAAGGCCUUCGGGAUGUAAAGUUCUUUCACUCUGUUGGAAGGCAUUAACUUUAAUAAACUAAGUGAUUGACGUUAACUACGUAUCAAGCCCCGGCUAACUCCGUGCCUACAUCCGCGGUAAUACGGAGGGUGCGAGCGUUAAUCGGAAUAACUGGGCGUUGGGGCACGCAGGCGCGUGACUUAAGUGAGGUGUGAAGACCCCGGGCUUAACCUGUCAAAUUGCAUUUCAUACUGGGUCGCUAGAGUACUUUAGGGAGGGGUAGAAUUCCACGUGUCCCGGUGAAAUGCGUAGAGAUGUGGAGGAUACCGAAGGCGAAGUGCAGCCCCUUGAGAAUGUACUGACGCUCAUGUGCUGAAAGCUCGAGAGAGCAAACUAGCAUUAGAUACCCUGAUAGCCCACGCUGCCAAAC
RNAcentral lists this ribosomal RNA (713 nucleotides) under uncultured bacterium. RNAcentral's name for it is "bacterial SSU rRNA". It matches the Rfam family "Bacterial small subunit ribosomal RNA", at positions 102 to 808 of the family's 1533-position model. The record is from RNAcentral.